CCUACGGGAGGCUGCAGUGAGGAAUAUUGGUCAAUGGGCGCGAGCCUGAACCAGCAAAGUCGCGUGAGGGAGGACGGCCCUACGGGUUGUAAACCUCUUUUGCCGGGGAGCAACGUGCGUCACGUGUGGCGCCACUGAGAGUACCCGGAGAAAAAGCAUCGGCUAACUCCGUGCCAGCAGCCGCGGUAUUACGGAGGAUGCGAGCGUUCUCCGGAUUGAUUGGGUUAAAGGGGUGCGUAGGCGGAUCGUUAAGUCAGUGGUCAAAUUGAGGGGCUCAACCCCUUCCCGCCAUUGAAACUGGCGCUCUUGAGUGGAAGAGAAGUAUGCGGAAUGCGUGGUGUAGCGGUGAAAUGCAUAGAGAUCACGCAGAACCCCGAUUGCGAAGGCAGCAUGCCGGCUUCCGACUGACGCUGAAGCACGAAAGCGUGGGGAUCGAACAGGAUUAGAUACCCGAGUAGUC
Molecule: ribosomal RNA, 460 nt
Filed under: uncultured bacterium
Lineage: Bacteria
Description: partial 16S ribosomal RNA
Rfam family: Bacterial small subunit ribosomal RNA
Source: RNAcentral